RNAcentral lists this ribosomal RNA (253 nucleotides) under uncultured bacterium. RNAcentral's name for it is "partial 16S ribosomal RNA". It matches the Rfam family "Bacterial small subunit ribosomal RNA", at positions 524 to 776 of the family's 1533-position model. The record is from RNAcentral.
UACAGAGGUCCCAAGCGUUGUUCGGAUUCACUGGGCGUAAAGGGUGCGUAGGUGGUGGGGUAAGUCGGAUGUGAAAUCUCCGAGCUCAACUCGGAAAUGGCAUUGGAAACUACCCUGCUAGAGGGUCGGAGGGGGGACUGGAAUACUUGGUGUAGCAGUGAAAUGCGUAGAGAUGUGGAGGAAUACCGAUGGCGAAGGCAGCCCCCUGGGCCAAUACUGACGCUCAUGCACGAAAGCGUGGGGAGCAGACAGG